This 1120-nucleotide ribosomal RNA is filed under the name Rhadine sp. KAO-2001. Its description in RNAcentral is "eukaryotic LSU rRNA". It matches the Rfam family "Eukaryotic large subunit ribosomal RNA", at positions 99 to 813 of the family's 3401-position model. Lineage: Eukaryota; Metazoa; Arthropoda; Insecta; Coleoptera; Carabidae. The record is from RNAcentral.
AGGGAUGAGCCCAGCACUGAAGCCCACGAUCGGAAACGGUCGUCGGGCAAUGUAGUGUUUGGGAGAGCCCGUUUAACCUAAGUAUUUAUAAACGUGUAUAAGUCCUUCUUGAAGGGGGCCAUUCGCCCAUAGAGGGUGCCAGGCCUGUAGAAACCGUUUGUAUACUUUGGUGGGUUUCUCCUUAGAGUCGGGUUGCUUGAGAGUGCAGCUCUAAGUGGGUGGUAAACUCCAUCUAAGGCUAAAUAUGACUGCGAAACCGAUAGCGAACAAGUACAGUGAGGGAAAGUUGAAAAGAACUUUGAAGAGAGAGUUCAAGAGUACGUGAAACUGUUCAGGGGUAAACCUGUGGUUCCCGAAUAUUCAAUAGAGGAGAUUCAAUUGCCUCACCGGUUAUGACCAUUUAACAGUGUUAUGGGAUUUAUUUUGUAUGUGUGACAUUAUAUUUGCUUAAUAGAUUUCUAUCUAUUUAUGUAUUUUAUGGUGCACCACUGUUUUAUGUUAAAGUUUAUAAUCGGAGGCGUGCACUUCUCCUCUAGUAGAACGUCAUGACCCAUUGGGUAUUUUGUCUAAGGCUCAUAUAGGCAGACCAUGGUGGCAUGUAUAUAUUAUAUUUAUUUAUGGUGUAUCUUGUGCAUUCAUGUGACUUAUGAUGUCCCGACAUUAUCCUGAUGGUAUAAUUGUGAUGAUGGAUCGCUAUAUAUAUAUUUAUUUAUAUAUAUGGUGAGCGUUCAGACCUAUGACAAAUGCUUAUAUGUAUAUUAUUAUUGUAUUUAUUGUGGAAAUUGGACUAUGUGCCGAUUCUGCACAUAUAGCAUUGUUAGUUAUGGUGUUCUCGAACAGUUUCUUAUCAUCCGUCAAUGGCGUUUAUGUUUUGGGUAAUUACAGGACCCGUCUUGAAACACGGACCAAGGAGUCUAGCAUGUGCGCAAGUCAUUGGGAUAUAAAACCUAAAGGCGUAAUGAAAGUGAAAUGUUUGGAUAUAUAUUUUAAAUUUAUUUAAAAUAUUAUUAUAUAUGAGGGAAGAUGGGUAACGGUAUAAUAUAUAUAUAUGUUACCUCGCAUUCCCGGGGCGUCGCGUACUCAUUGCGAGUUGCGGCGCACCAAGAGCGUACACGCUGGG